This is a long non-coding RNA of Poeciliopsis prolifica (blackstripe livebearer), 747 nucleotides long. RefSeq lists it as uncharacterized. NCBI's taxonomy places the organism in Eukaryota, Metazoa, Chordata, Actinopteri, Cyprinodontiformes, Poeciliidae. The record is from RefSeq and is a predicted model, not a curated record. The transcript is spliced from 3 exons.
AACGCACUGGCCUUGCAGUAAAUAAGUGAAGCUAAACGCAGCGAGUCUAGCUUGGCUGAUACAGAGAGCGAGAAAAAGCGGUACCGCAGGUUGGCCCAGAUGAUGUUCUCCUGGGAGAAGCAGAAGACGCCGAGCCGGCCUCCUCUCAUCGUGGCGUCUAUGAUGACGCCGGUGUCUGCCACCAUCUGAGGGCCCUCAUAGAAACGGACUCUGCAGCAACAGCAGAGAUAUGGAGAAGAUAGAAGACUUUCUGGAAAUCGCAUUUUCCAGCCAAGCCGCAGAUGCAGGAAUGAAAAGCAGUGGGAGUCCGAAAGUUUGAACAAGCUGUGGUUCUGUGGUAGAAAGACUCUGGUUUUUCAUGUGUCCUGGUUUAUUCUAAAUGAAACUGCUAAACAGGAGACAUUAAAGUUCAUGUUUCAGUUUGCAGCAAUGUUUUUGUUUCCGAAAAUAUUUUUUAUGACUGCCAACAAAUCUAAGGCCUUUUUUUUCUUUAUUGAUAACCCAGUAGCUUACAGUAGCACUUAGUGAAAUAAAAGGUAUAAUAAAUAUGUGAAACAUUAAAAUACAGAAGAUUUUUACGUUGAAAACAGUACCAUUAAAACUGACCAUUUAUUACAAUGAACAAAUUUGAAACUCUUCUUAAAAAGUGUUUAAUUGAAAAGUGUAAAUGCUAUUUUGUAUAAUCUUAAUUGGAUUUUGUGACAUUUUAUUGAAAAAUUCUAUUUUAUAUUAAGUGUAAUUAAUUAC